RNAcentral lists this ribosomal RNA (433 nucleotides) under uncultured bacterium. Its description in RNAcentral is "partial 16S ribosomal RNA". It matches the Rfam family "Bacterial small subunit ribosomal RNA", at positions 29 to 507 of the family's 1533-position model. The record is from RNAcentral.
AACGAACGCUGGCGGCAUGCCUAACACAUGCAAGUCGAACGAGACCUUCGGGUCUAGUGGCGCACGGGUGCGUAACGCGUGGGAACCUGCCCUUAGGUUCGGAAUAACUCCCCGAAAGGGGUGCUAAUACCGGAUAAUGUCUUCGGACCAAAGAUUUAUCGACUUUGGAUGGGCCCGCGUUGGAUUAGCUAGUUGGUAGGGUAAAAGCCUACCAAGGCGACGAUCCAUAGCUGGUCUGAGAGGAUGAUCAGCCACACUGGGACUGAGACACGGCCCAGACUCCUACGGGAGGCAGCAGUGGGGAAUAUUGGACAAUGGGCGAAAGCCUGAUCCAGCAAUGCCGCGUGAGUGAUGAAGGCAUUAGGGUUGUAAAGCUCUUUUACCCGGGAUGAUAAUGACAGUACCGGGAGAAUAAGCUCCGGCUAACUCCGUG